UUUCCAGACUCCUACGGGAGGCAGCAGUGGGGAAUAUUGCGCAAUGGGGGAAACCCUGAUGCAGCGACGCCGCGUGAGCGAUGAAGUAUUUCGGUAUGUAAAGCUCUAUCAGCAGGGAAGAAAAUGACGGUACCUGACUAAGAAGCCCCGGCUAACUACGUGCCAGCAGCCGCGGUAAUACGUAGGGGGCAAGCGUUAUCCGGAUUUACUGGGUGUAAAGGGAGCGUAGACGGCUGUGCAAGCCAGAUGUGAAAGCCCGGGGCUCAACCCCGGGACUGCAUUUGGAACUGCGUGGCUUGAGUGUCGGAGAGGCAGGCGGAAUUCCUGGUGUAGCGGUGAAAUGCGUAGAUAUCAGGAGGAACACCGGUGGCGAAGGCGGCCUGCUGGACUGCAACUGACGUUGAGGCCCGAAAGCGUGGGGAGCAGACAGGAUUAGAUACCCCGGUA
This 447-nucleotide ribosomal RNA is filed under the name uncultured bacterium. RNAcentral's name for it is "bacterial SSU rRNA". It matches the Rfam family "Bacterial small subunit ribosomal RNA", at positions 328 to 792 of the family's 1533-position model. The record is from RNAcentral.